CGAGCAGAAAAGAUGAUUGCAGGCUUUAAAGCGUGAGGAAAGUCCGAGCUCCGCAGGGCAGGAUGCCGGAUAACGUCCGGCGAGGGUGACCUCAGGGAAAGUGCCAUAGAAAAGGAAACCGCCGUUUUACGGUAAGGGUGGAAAGGUACGGUAAGAGCGUACCGGCAACUUGAGUAAUCAGUUGGCCUGGUAAACCCCAUCCGGAGCAAGACCGAAUAGGGAAGGGUUGAAGUUGCCCGCUGACCUUCCGGGUUGUGUCGCUCGAUCUGUAGAGCAAUCUGCAGACUAGAUAGAUAAUCAUCACCGUUUUACGGUACAGAACUCGGCUUAUUGAAUGCUCGCUUG
Dialister micraerophilus DSM 19965 is the source of this 345-nucleotide non-coding RNA. It matches the Rfam family "Bacterial RNase P class A". From Rfam's summary of the family: Ribonuclease P (RNase P) is a ubiquitous endoribonuclease, found in archaea, bacteria and eukarya as well as chloroplasts and mitochondria. Its best characterised activity is the generation of mature 5'-ends of tRNAs by cleaving the 5'-leader elements of precursor-tRNAs. The record is from Rfam. NCBI's taxonomy places the organism in Bacteria, Bacillati, Bacillota, Negativicutes, Veillonellales, Veillonellaceae.